RNAcentral lists this transfer RNA (72 nucleotides) under Camelus bactrianus (Bactrian camel). It matches the Rfam family "tRNA". Rfam says of the family: Transfer RNA (tRNA) molecules are approximately 80 nucleotides in length. Their secondary structure includes four short double-helical elements and three loops (D, anti-codon, and T loops). Lineage: Eukaryota; Metazoa; Chordata; Mammalia; Artiodactyla; Camelidae. The record is from Rfam by way of RNAcentral. RNAcentral also lists the same sequence under 2 other names.
GAGGGUAGAGCUUAGUAGUAGAUUGCAUGCCUAGCAUGUAUGAGGUCCUGGGUUCAAUCCCCAGUACCCCUA